CCCUUAGAUGUUCUGGGCCGCACGCGCGCUACACUGAUGCAUUCAACGAGUUUCUUCCUGGUCCGAGAGGAAUGGGUAACCUUUUGAAAGUGCAUCGUGAUAGGGAUAGACUAUUGCAAUUAUUGGUCUUCAACGAGGAAAUCCUAGUAGACGUAGUUCAUCAGACUGCAUCGAUUACGUCCCUGCCCUUUGUACACACCGCCCGUCGCUCCUACCGAUUGAAUGCUCAGGUGAGCCAUUCGGACUUUCAUCAUGCUGGUUUCCAGUUUUGAUGAAGGAAAGUCUUGCGAACCUUAUCAUUUAGAGGAAGGAGAAGUCGUAACA
This 324-nucleotide ribosomal RNA is filed under the name uncultured eukaryote. RNAcentral's name for it is "partial 18S ribosomal RNA". It matches the Rfam family "Eukaryotic small subunit ribosomal RNA", at positions 1470 to 1796 of the family's 1831-position model. The record is from RNAcentral.